This 301-nucleotide ribosomal RNA is filed under the name uncultured bacterium. Its description in RNAcentral is "partial 16S ribosomal RNA". It matches the Rfam family "Bacterial small subunit ribosomal RNA", at positions 509 to 807 of the family's 1533-position model. The record is from RNAcentral.
CAGCCGCCGCGGUAAUACGUAGGGUGCAAGCGUUAAUCGGAAUUACUGGGCGUAAAGCGUGCGCAGGCGGUUAUAUAAGACAGAUGUGAAAUCCCCGGGCUCAACCUGGGAACUGCAUUUGUGACUGUAUAGCUAGAGUACGGCAGAGGGGGAUGGAAUUCCGCGUGUAGCAGUGAAAUGCGUAGAUAUGCGGAGGAACACCGAUGGCGAAGGCAAUCACCUGGGCCUGUACUGACGCUCAUGCACGAAAGCGUGGGGAGCAAACAGGAUUAGAUACCCCCGUAGUCCCUGUCUCUUAUAC